This 585-nucleotide ribosomal RNA is filed under the name uncultured bacterium. RNAcentral describes it as "partial 16S ribosomal RNA". It matches the Rfam family "Bacterial small subunit ribosomal RNA", at positions 355 to 1375 of the family's 1533-position model. The record is from RNAcentral.
UGGGGAAUUUUGGACAAUGGGCGAAAGCCUGAUCCAGCAAUGCCGCGUGUGUGAAGAAGGCCUUCGGGUUGUAAAGCACUUUUGUCCGGAAAGAAAUCCUUGGCUCUAAUACAGUCGGGGGAUGACGGUACCGGAAGAAUAAGCACCGGCUAACUACGUGCCAGCAGCCGCGGUAAUACGUAGGGUGCAAGCGUUAAUCGGAAUUACUGGGCGUAAAGCGUGCGCAGGCGGUUUGCUAAGACCGAUGUGAAAUCCCCGGGCUCAACCUGGGAACUGCAUUGGUGACUGGCAGGCUAGAGUAUGGCAGAGGGGGGUAGAAUUCCACGUGUAGCAGUGAAAUGCGUAGAGAUGUGGAGGAAUACCGAUGGCGAAGGCAGCCCCCUGGGCCAAUACUGACGCUCAUGCACGAAAGCGUGGGGAGCAAACAGGAUUAGAUACCCUGGUAGUCCACGCCCUAAAACGAUGUCAACUAGUUGUUGGGGAUUCAUUUCCUUAGUAACGUAGCUAACGCGUGAAGUUGACCGCCUGGGGAGUACGGUCGCAAGAUUAAAACUCAAUGAAUUGACGGGGUCAUAGCUGUUUCCU